UACGUAGGGCGCAAGCGUUGUCCGGAAUUAUUGGGCGUAAAGAGCUCGUAGGCGGCUUGUCACGUCGGGUGUGAAAGCUCGGGGCUUAACCCCGGGUCUGCAUUCGAUACGGGCUGGCUGGAGUGUGGUAGGGGAGAUCGGAAUUCCUGGUGUAGCGGUGAAAUGCGUAGAUAUCUGGAGGAACACCGGUGGCGAAGGCGACAUCCUGGACCGGUAUUGACGCUGAGGCGCGAAAGCCAGGGGAGCAAACGGG
This 253-nucleotide ribosomal RNA is filed under the name uncultured bacterium. RNAcentral describes it as "partial 16S ribosomal RNA". It matches the Rfam family "Bacterial small subunit ribosomal RNA", at positions 524 to 776 of the family's 1533-position model. The record is from RNAcentral.